RNAcentral lists this ribosomal RNA (403 nucleotides) under uncultured bacterium. Its description in RNAcentral is "bacterial SSU rRNA". It matches the Rfam family "Bacterial small subunit ribosomal RNA", at positions 356 to 774 of the family's 1533-position model. The record is from RNAcentral.
GGGGAAUAUUGCGCAAUGGGGGAAACCCUGACGCAGCAAUACCGCGUGAGUGAAGAAGGUUUUCGGAUCGUAAAGCUCUGUUAUUGGGGAAGAAAAAAAGACGGUACCCAAGAAGAAAGUCCCGGCUAACUACGUGCCAGCAGCCGCGGUAAUACGUAGGGGACAAGCGUUGUCCGGAUUUACUGGGCGUAAAGGGCACGCAGGCGGUUUUUUAAGUCAGGGGUGAAAUCCCACAGCUCAACUGUGGAACUGCCUUUGAUACUGUUAGUCUUGAGUAUAGUUGAAGUGGGCGGAAUGUGUCAUGUAGCGGUGAAAUGCUUAGAUAUGACACAGAACACCGAUCGCGAAGGCAGCUCGCUAAGCUAUAACUGACGCUCAUGCACGAAAGCGUGGGGAUCAAACA